GACAGAGGAUGCAAGCGUUAUCCGGAAUUAUUGGGCGUAAAGGGUGCGUAGAUUGCAGAACAAGUUAUCAGUAGAAGCGAGGCCUAACCUCGUGGAAGUUGGUAAUACUAUUUUGCUAGAGUGCAGGAGAGGUUAACGGAAUUUCAUGUGGAACGGUAAAAUGUUACGAUAUAUGAGAGAACACUAAUAACGGCGAAGGCAGUUAACUAUUCUGUUACUGACGUUGAGGCACGAAAGCGUGGGGAGCAAAACGG
RNAcentral lists this ribosomal RNA (254 nucleotides) under uncultured bacterium. RNAcentral's name for it is "partial 16S ribosomal RNA". It matches the Rfam family "Bacterial small subunit ribosomal RNA", at positions 524 to 776 of the family's 1533-position model. The record is from RNAcentral.